GAUUCUGGCUCAGGAUGAACGCUGGCGGCGUGCCUAACACAUGCAAGUCGAACGGAGUGUCGAGAGCUUGCUUUGACACUUAGUGGCGGACGGGUGAGUAAUGUAUGAGCAACCUGCCUUUCAGAGGGGGACAACAGUUGGAAACGACUGCUAAUACCGCAUAACGUGCGGGGAGGGCAUCCUCCCUGUACCAAAGGAGCAAUCCGCUGAAAGAUGGGCUCAUAUCUGAUUAGUUAGUUGGCAGGGUAACGGCCUACCAAGACUGCGAUCAGUAGCCGGACUGAGAGGUUGAACGGCCACAUUGGGACUGAGAUACGGCCCAGACUCCUACGGGAGGCAGCAGUGGGGAAUAUUGGGCAAUGGGCGAAAGCCUCGACCCAGCAACGCCGCGUGAAGGAAGAAGGUCUUCGGAUUGUAAACUUCUUUUAUGAGGGACGAAGGACGUGACGGUACCUCAUGAAUAAGCCACGGCUAACUACGUGCCAGCAGCAGC
RNAcentral lists this ribosomal RNA (493 nucleotides) under uncultured bacterium. Its description in RNAcentral is "bacterial SSU rRNA". It matches the Rfam family "Bacterial small subunit ribosomal RNA", at positions 15 to 518 of the family's 1533-position model. The record is from RNAcentral.